UGGUUGAAAAUUCCGAUGGUUAGAGAUGGGCAUGCGUUGUAUUAGCUAGUUGGUGGGGUAACGGCUCACCAAGGCGACGAUACAUAGGGGGACUGAGAGGUUAACCCCCCACACUGGUACUGAGACACGGACCAGACUCCUACGGGAGGCAGCAGUGAGGAAUAUUGGUCAAUGGACGCAAGUCUGAACCAGCCAUGCCGCGUGCAGGAUGACGGCUCUAUGAGUUGUAAACUGCUUUUGUACGAGGGUAAACGCAGAUACGUGUAUCUGUCUGAAAGUAUCGUACGAAUAAGGAUCGGCUAACUCCGUGCCAGCAGCCGCGGUAAUACGGAGGAUUCAAGCGUUAUCCGGAUUUAUUGGGUUUAAAGGGUGCGUAGGCGGUUUGAUAAGUUAGAGGUGAAAUUUCGGGGCUCAACCCUGAACGUGCCUCUAAUACUGUUGAGCUAGAGAGUAGUUGCGGUAGGCGGAAUGUAUGGUGUAGCGGUGAAAUGCUUAGAGAUCAUACAGAACACCGAUUGCGAAGGCAGCUUACCAAACUAUAUCUGACGUUGAGGCACGAAAGCGUGGGGAGCAAACAGGAUUAGAUACCCUGGUAGUCCACGCAGUAAACGAUGAUAACUCGUUGUCGGCGAUACACAGUCGGUGACUAAGCGAAAGCGAUAAGUUAUCCACCUGGGGAGUAC
Molecule: ribosomal RNA, 683 nt
Filed under: uncultured bacterium
Lineage: Bacteria
Description: bacterial SSU rRNA
Rfam family: Bacterial small subunit ribosomal RNA
Source: RNAcentral